UGAGGAAUAUUGGUCAAUGGACGCAAGUCUGAACCAGCCAUGCCGCGUGGAGGAUGACGGUCCUCUGGAUUGUAAACUUCUUUUAUUUGGGAAGAAAACCUCUGAUUAUUCGGAGCUUGACGGUACCAGAUGAAUAAGCACCGGCUAACUCCGUGCCAGCAGCCGCGGUAAUACGGAGGGUGCAAGCGUUAUCCGGAUUCACUGGGUUUAAAGGGUGCGUAGGCGGAUAGGUAAGUCCGUGGUGAAAUCUCUCGACUUAAUCGGGAAACUGCCAUGGAUACUAUUUAUCUUGAAAGUUGUGGAGGUUAACGGAAUAUGUCAUGUAGCGGUGAAAUGCUUAGAUAUGACAUGGAACACCAAUUGCGAAGGCAGUUAACUACACAAAUAUUGACGCUGAUGCACGAAAGCGUGGGGAUCAAACA
This 422-nucleotide ribosomal RNA is filed under the name uncultured bacterium. Its description in RNAcentral is "bacterial SSU rRNA". It matches the Rfam family "Bacterial small subunit ribosomal RNA", at positions 355 to 774 of the family's 1533-position model. The record is from RNAcentral.